RNAcentral lists this ribosomal RNA (176 nucleotides) under uncultured bacterium. RNAcentral describes it as "partial 16S ribosomal RNA". It matches the Rfam family "Bacterial small subunit ribosomal RNA", at positions 1325 to 1500 of the family's 1533-position model. The record is from RNAcentral.
GUCGGAAUUGCUAGUAAUGGCAGGUCAGCAUACUGCCGUGAAUACGUUCCCGGGCCCUUGUACACACCGCCCGUCACACCAUGAGAGUUGGAGAUACCCGAAGCCUGUGAGCUAACUUUUAGAGGCAGCAGUCGAAGGUAGAAUCAAUGAUUGGGGUGAAGUCGUAACAAGGUACC